RNAcentral lists this unclassified non-coding RNA (230 nucleotides) under plant metagenome. Its description in RNAcentral is "partial contains small subunit ribosomal RNA, internal transcribed spacer 1, and 5.8S ribosomal RNA". The record is from RNAcentral.
UCUCCGUGGGUGAACCUGCGGAGGGAUCAUUACAGAGUUCAUGCCCUCCGGGUAGAUCUCCCACCCACUGCUAUCACUACUCUCGUUGCUUUGGCGGGCCGCUGGGCCCUGCCCGGCCGCCGGCCCCGGCUGGCGCGUGCCCGCCAGAGACCUCACAGACUCUGAAUGUUAGUGUCGUCCGAGUAACUAUACAAUCGUUAAAACUUUCAACAACGGAUCUCUUGGUUCUG